AAAAUCUUCUCCUUCUCCUUCUCGAGCAGCAACAGUAAUUUAGUGAACCACGGCAUCAUCUUCCUAUCCGUGAGCAAGUCCUCGCAACAUCUUCAUCUUCUUUUUGUUGAUUUCAGUUCUAGACCAACAAAAAAAAAAUAGUAACUGAUUCUUGCAAUGAUUUUAGAAAUUUAAACCUAGGGUUUGAUAUAUUUGGGAGUAAAUUAUGGAGUUAUUCAGUAUGGUGUUUAAUAUAAAUAAUUGAAGUAGUUUAAGGGUUGUUGGGUUAUCUUGCUAACAAAUACUACUUUGUCAAUUUGAUAUCUCGAGGUUUUUGUUUCAAAUUACUGAAUUACGGGUUGAAUUUGUUUGCUUAUGCAAUUUUGUUGAUGAGUUUUUGCAAAUUAUGGGUAAUUGAAUUCUGCUUUUGUAGAUUGGUUAACAACCUGGGGACAAUGUCAUUGAUUUGGGGUUGUAGGCACGUUGUCAAACAUGAAGGAAAGACUUGAAGGUUCGGAAGGGCCAUCAAAGACAGUUCCACUCAAAGUUCUUCAAAGAGAAAGAUUUUCCAACAAACUUCUGACGAAUGGAAAAUGGCCUUGAGAUUUCGUGAAGUCCUGUUAAACGGAACUGCUACUGACAAUAUCAUGGGGAGCAUAAAUACUUACCUUUGCCGCGUUUCGUGGUUAACACAUACACAAGUUGAUACUUAAGUGUUCUUGUUCUUGACUGUAUGUCAUGAACUGACAUAAAAAUACUUUUUUGGGACUUGAAAAGAACGCUGCUGCAAGGAGAAUUGUUGCAGGAGAGCAGGGAUGCAAUAACGGCCAAACACGCAUUCCUCCUGUUUACGCAUUCCAUGUUUUUUGCUUGCUGUGCACCCCCCAAGAAAUACUCAACUGUAUCCUGACUUUUUUGAUUGAUUAAUUUCAUCUUUCCAUGCUUAGAUAGAUACUUUUAAGUACCACUGAGAAUCGAACCACUUUUACCACUAUCUACAAAUCACAUCAAUUUUUGGCGCCGCCAACGCGGACUUGUUUUUAGGGUUUUAGAUUUUUUUUUUAAUUUUUUUUAAUUUUUGUCAUUU
Papaver somniferum (opium poppy) is the source of this 1066-nucleotide long non-coding RNA. RefSeq lists it as uncharacterized. NCBI's taxonomy places the organism in Eukaryota, Viridiplantae, Streptophyta, Magnoliopsida, Ranunculales, Papaveraceae. The transcript has 3 exons. The record is from RefSeq and is a predicted model, not a curated record.